This 93-nucleotide transfer RNA is filed under the name Mycoplasmopsis felis. RNAcentral's name for it is "tRNA-Ser". It matches the Rfam family "tRNA". From Rfam's summary of the family: Transfer RNA (tRNA) molecules are approximately 80 nucleotides in length. Their secondary structure includes four short double-helical elements and three loops (D, anti-codon, and T loops). Lineage: Bacteria; Bacillati; Mycoplasmatota; Mycoplasmoidales; Metamycoplasmataceae. The record is from RNAcentral.
GGAACAGUACUCAAAAGAGGCUGAAGAGGCGGUCCUGCUAAGACUGUAGGGGAAGCAAUUCCCGCGGAGGUUCAAAUCCUCUCUGUUCCGCCA